This 776-nucleotide ribosomal RNA is filed under the name uncultured archaeon. RNAcentral's name for it is "bacterial SSU rRNA". It matches the Rfam family "Archaeal small subunit ribosomal RNA", at positions 95 to 866 of the family's 1478-position model. The record is from RNAcentral.
AACACGCAGUCAACCUAACUCGUGGACGUGGAUAACCUCGGGAAACUGAGAAUAAACCACGAUAGAUCAUCCUGCCCGGAAUGGCUUAUGGUCCAAACAGUUUACUGCCAUGGGAUGGGACUGCGGCCUAUCUUCUUGUUGGUGAGGUAAUGGCCCUCCACGGCUAUUACAGGUACGGGUUCUGAGACGAGAAGCCCGGAGAUGGGUACUGAGACACAUACCCUGGCCCUAUGGGGCGCAGCAGGCGAGAAACCUUAGCAAUUUUUUAAAACACGACUGGGUCAGUCCGAGUGAUUCCUGAGAAAGGAGUCUUUUAUCUGUCCUAAAAGCACAGGUGAAUAAGGGGUGGGCAAGUCUGGUGUCAGCCGCCGCGGUAAUACCAGCACCUCGAGUGGUCAGAACGUUUAUUGGGCCUAAAGCAUCCGUAGAAAACUUUGCAAGUCUCCGGUUAAAUCCACCUGCUCAACAGAUGGGCUGCUGGAGAUACUACAAAGCUAGGGAGUGGGAGAGGCAGACGGUAUUCAGUGGGUAGGGGUAAAAUCCUCUGAUCCAUCGAGGACCACCAGUGGCGAAGGCGGUCUGCCAGAACACGUUCGACGGUGAGGGAUGAAAGCCCGGGGAGCAAACCGGAUUAGAUACCCGGGUAGUCCCAGCUGUAAACGAUGCAAACUCGGUGAUGCAUUGGCUUAUGGCCAAUGCAGUGCCGCAGGGAAGCCGUUAAGUCUUCCGACUGGGCCGUACGGNCGCNNGUCUGAAACUGGGGCCCUAUAAAAAAG